CAACUUUCAGCAACGGAUCUCUUGGCUCUCGCAUCGAUGAAGAACGCAGCGAAAUGCGAUAAGUAAUGUGAAUUGCAGAAUUCAGUGAAUCAUCNAAUCUUUGAACGCACCUUGCGCUCCUUGGUAUUCCGAGGAGCAUGCCUGUUUGAGUGUCCGC
This 157-nucleotide ribosomal RNA is filed under the name Inocybe sp. JLF3827. RNAcentral's name for it is "5.8S ribosomal RNA". It matches the Rfam family "5.8S ribosomal RNA". From Rfam's summary of the family: 5.8S ribosomal RNA (5.8S rRNA) is a component of the large subunit of the eukaryotic ribosome. It is transcribed by RNA polymerase I as part of the 45S precursor that also contains 18S and 28S rRNA. Functionally, it is thought that 5.8S rRNA may be involved in ribosome translocation. Lineage: Eukaryota; Fungi; Basidiomycota; Agaricomycetes; Agaricales; Inocybaceae. The record is from RNAcentral.